Molecule: ribosomal RNA, 549 nt
Filed under: Pseudocercospora cyatheae
Lineage: Eukaryota; Fungi; Ascomycota; Dothideomycetes; Mycosphaerellales; Mycosphaerellaceae
Description: eukaryotic LSU rRNA
Rfam family: 5.8S ribosomal RNA (bases 203-356)
Source: RNAcentral
GGAAGUAAAAGUCGUAACAAGGUCUCCGUAGGUGAACCUGCGGAGGGAUCAUUACUGAGUGAGGGCUCACGCCCGACCUCCAACCCUUUGUGAACACAUCUUGUUGCUUCGGGGGCGACCCUGCCGGCACUACGUCGCCGGGCGCCCCCGAAGGUCUCCAAACACUGCAUCUUUGCGUCGGAGUUUAAAACAAAUGAAACAAAACUUUCAACAACGGAUCUCUUGGUUCUGGCAUCGAUGAAGAACGCAGCGAAAUGCGAUAAGUAAUGUGAAUUGCAGAAUUCAGUGAAUCAUCGAAUCUUUGAACGCACAUUGCGCCCUUUGGUAUUCCGAAGGGCAUGCCUGUUCGAGCGUCAUGACACCACUCAAGCCUGGCUUGGUAUUGGGCGUCGCGGCUCCGCGCGCCUUAAAGUCUCCGGCUGAGCCAUUCGUCUCUAAGCGUUGUGGAUUUUCGAAUUCGCUUCGGAGUGCGGGUGGCCGCGGCCGUUAAAUAUUUACUCAAGGAUGACCUCGGAUCAGGUAGGGAUACCCGCUGAACUUAAGCAUAUC